This 456-nucleotide ribosomal RNA is filed under the name uncultured bacterium. RNAcentral describes it as "partial 16S ribosomal RNA". It matches the Rfam family "Bacterial small subunit ribosomal RNA", at positions 30 to 523 of the family's 1533-position model. The record is from RNAcentral.
AUUGAACGCUGGCGGUAUGCUUAAGACAUGCAAGUCGAACGGUAACAGGUUAAGCUGACGAGUGGCGGACGGGUGAGUAACACGUGGGAAUCUACCCAGUAGCGGGGGAUAAGCCAGGGAAACUUGGACUAAUACCGCAUACGCCCUAAGGGGGAAAGCCGCAAGGCACUAUCGGAUGAGCCCGCGUCUGAUUAGCUAGUUGGUGAGGUAAGAGCUCACCAAGGCGACGAUCAGUAGCUGGUCUGAGAGGAUGACCAGCCACAUUGGGACUGAGACACGGCCCAGACUCCUACGGGAGGCAGCAGUCGGGAAUAUUGGACAAUGGGGGCAACCCUGAUCCAGCAAUACCGCGUGUGUGAAGAGGGCCUGCGGGUUGUAAAGCACUUUUAGUGGGGAAGAUAAUGACGUUACCCACAGAAACAGCACCGGCUAACUCCGUGCCAGCCGCCGCGGUAA